UGGAAGGAGAGACAUGCACCACAGAGACAGAGGCGUGAGGUGUCUGGCUCUGACGUUCCUGCUCAGGAGCCUGCUGGUGAGUGCGAAGCCAGUCCCUGUUCUUUAUAGAAGCCUGAGUCACUGCUGUUGCCUUUGAAAUCGGCUGGAGAUGCCAUGUAACCAGCUGCCUCGUGUUCCCUACCACGAUGGACUAUACCCCCUUGAACUGUGAGACAAAACAAAGCCUUCCUCCCUUAAGCGGCUUUUGUCAGCUGGGCUCAUUACCUAACAGAGCAACAGAACUACAGAGAGGAAUUCGGGUCCCGCCCGGAGAUUGCAGAGAAGAGGCAAGAGGAUGAUGAUCUGGGGGGGUGGGGGGGUGGGGAGGCUGCUGGAGGAGAGGAGCUGUGGCCAGUUCUAAGGUGGUGAGGUGCCUGCAUUUUGAGGGCAUAGAGCUAUAAGAGAGCAUGGCAUCCAUAAGGAACAGCUCAGGGGAGAGUGGCAGAUGCCUACACCUUAAGUCCCCAUCUUGGAGAUUGUAAAGAAUUGCUUUCAUGAUGGUCUGGCAGCCAGGCCACCAGUCAAGUCUAGACUCCUCAGGGGAAUAAAUGUCACUUCCUCAUGUGCAUGGGGGUUGGGUAGUGGGGCACAGGGCUAAAGGGCAUAUGGAAGGGGAGGGGUUGUAAGUAUGUUGGGAUGAGUAGUGCUGCAGGCCUUCUCUGUGAGGGGAAAGGACUCUUGAACAUUGGGAGGACUGUUUAUGCCACAGUGGAUUAAACUUAACAGCAGAUUCACUCCGGAGUUAAACAUUUAUUCCUCAUAAUACAUUAGCAUGCCCAUUUACAAAUGGGAAAGAAGUCAUGGGGGAAUUAAGUAAAUUUUUAGACCACUCAGCUAGUCAGAUGUGUGGUGAGGAGGCUGGGGAAUCGGAACCUCCCCUGUGGUUUGGUACUAUCUACAACCUUGAUUCUUCUUUCUAAACUCCCCCAUGGCUCGUUGCUGGGGCAGGCACAUCCUUCGAAGUCCACCUCCUCUGCUUGCUGCAGUCAUAAUUAUUAGAUUUUGAUUUCCAUGUUGGUGAAAUCUGCAGUUUCUCCUUCCAUCUCCAGCAAUCCCUGCUCUCUUGGAUUACAGAGAGCAUGCUGAUGUUGGAUCCUACUGACCCACCCCUCUGUCGGUGACCUUUACAUACCCAGCUGAGCACAGAGAUUUACAAGUAGAGACGCUCAUUAGCCUGGAGCGACUAUUGAAGAUGCCCUGGGCAGUGAAGUUGCAGGGGCCUGGCCUCACACAUUCCAGGGUCAUUUGUCAUAUAGAACGUGAUAUUUGCUGAAGAAAUCAACCCUAAUUUUAUUAUUUAAUGGAAGAAAUGUGCCAAGUAUGAUGCUCUGGGAGGUUUCGAUCUUUAUUGCUAGUGAAAGCAAGUCUCUCAGAGGCUUCUGUAGCUGAAGACCUGGGGUCAUCUCUCUAACACUGUGUCAAGAUGGAGAGUCUGCUGGAGGAGAGCAUCAGGGAGCCUGGGCCAAGAUGCCCGUACCAGGUUGCAGGUGCCUACUGCUGCGUGCAUACAGGAACCUGCCUGUGUGGAGGUCCCUCCAAGGCCACUUCCACAUGAUGGAAUAUAACAGCACCCUGCACAGGGAUCAGAAAACAAAAUGCCACCCAUGGAGAACACAUUCCAAAACACCACAGCAUUCACUGGGGUAAGAGGUGGAGCUCCAUAGAAUCCACUCCUGGGUGGGGUAGCUUCACAGAAUCCACUGUGGGGAUGCCCUAGCUCCACUGAGCCUGCUCACCCUUGUUUAACUUACAAAUGUCCUUUUGGUUGAUGGAUCAAGAUACAUCAUAUACAAGUAUACAAUUGUCAAAGAAUAAAAUGUACUU
Molecule: non-coding RNA, 1863 nt
Organism: Peromyscus maniculatus bairdii (prairie deer mouse)
Lineage: Eukaryota; Metazoa; Chordata; Mammalia; Rodentia; Cricetidae
Source: RefSeq, a predicted model, not a curated record